This 2095-nucleotide long non-coding RNA is filed under the name Heterocephalus glaber (naked mole-rat). Its description in RNAcentral is "lncRNA (ENSHGLG00000043705.1)". Lineage: Eukaryota; Metazoa; Chordata; Mammalia; Rodentia; Bathyergidae. The record is from RNAcentral.
CACCUAAGUUCGGUGUGGCCACCAAGUCCUCUUGGUACAGGAUACAGCCACCUCUGUCCUCUGGCAUAUUCCACCUGCAGGAGGAGCAAGUCUUCCCAUCCUCAGUUCCUUGACAAAUGUCAAAGUGCUGAAGGGUCACUCCUCCCUCCAGACUUCCUGACUACUGGGGGAGUCCCUUGGGAUGAACUGAAUGAGCAGCAGUGGGAGUUUGUCACCACUAUCAUGAGUAAUAGAGUUUACUUUGGGUUUUUUUGUUGUUUUGUUUUUUUUUAAAUAGAGCUUACUUUGGAGCUGCUGCUUUCUGCUUCUUGACCAGAGUAUCCUAUUCAACACAUCAGGCCAAACUUCAGGCAGCCAUCUUAACACCCGAUGCUUCUGGCCAACAAAUAGUCCCAACUGCACAUUUUCACAAAUUCUUGAGCCACUGACCCUUUGGGUAAAGGACUCUGGGAAAUUCUUGCUUCACAGAUACCCCAAGUAUAAAUCAGUAGUGGUGAACCUAUGGCACACACGCCCCAGCCAGCUGUUUGAUAUCAUUGAAGACUCUAAAAGGUACGCCAUCACUGCUAUAAAUCAAGACCACAGAUGUCUCUGUGUAUACUCAGGUCACAAAAGAUGCCUCAACAAGAUUAUCCUCAACCUAGCCUGAGUUUCAGGUGUUACUAAUAGUGACCAAGGCAUUGAUGGCCUUAAGCCUCAUACUACCUCUUCUUGUGCACAUAUCUGGACAGGUACUUAGGCCUGGGUGCUCCCCAUGGCUCAGGUGCAAUUCAUGCCAUGCAACUCCCUUGCUGUACUUAGAAGCCCUCACACUGACCCCACCUCCAGCCCAGCCUCCUGUCCUUGCUCUCUCAAGCCAUUUUGGACCUGUGCAAAGGCCUGUUGAACUCUUCCCCAGAGACCUCAACUAUGUCAGUAAACUUUCUGAUAGAAAGACCUGCAAAGGAAUUUUAAGCUUUUUAAUCAAACUACUACUAAUAAUAUUGGCCUUGUUACACUGACAUAUAAAAGUAAUGAAAUAAAUAAUUUCAUGGUAAAAUAAUGAGGAUCCAAGAUGUGUAAUAUAAGAAAAAAAAGAGACAGUAAUAACAACAAAUAACCAUCUAGCCCUAAAUUUGAAUUAGAAAUAUCAUUGCAAACUUAUAAUGUACUUUGAUAUUUUUUAAAUUACCAUGCUUCAGAGUAAACAAAUAAUUGAUUUGGGGAAGUUUGACUUUAUACAGUUAUUCCCAUAAAUCCUGAAGAAAUAACUAGUAACAGAAUGUCACCAUCUUACGUGUUAUGAUUUGAUCUGAAAUGUUCCCCCCAAAGUGGGAAGGUGGUUGGAUCAUGGAGGUGCUUUACUCACUGGUGGAUUCAUCAACUGGUGGCUGAAGUGGCUGAGCAUGCUGUUGGAAGGUGGAGCCUGGUCAGAAGAGAUGGGUCACUGGGGUCAUGACCUGGAAGGAUAUAUCUCCCUCCCCAGCUCCUCCUUUAUCUCUCUGCUUCCAGGUUGCCAUGAUAUGAGCAGCUUUUUUCUGCCCAGACCUUUCCAUCAUGCCAUUUCUGCAUUGCAGCCAGCUGACUAUGGACUGAAUCUUCUAAAACCAUGAACUUAAAACUCCUCCUUUAAGUUGUGGUGUCAGUUUGCAGGAAAUUCGAGGGACAGAAGGAUUCCAAGCAAACAGCAUAAUCACAAAUACGACAAACUUUACCAUAUGAGCUUACAGCUAAGAGUUUGCCUUGAAUCUCAGAGGAGACUGGACUUGUCAACAGUGCUGACUUUGACAAUCCUUAGAGAUGGACUAAAUGAAUUUUUGCAUAAUGAGAUGGACAUUACCCUUUUGGGGGCCAGGGUCCAGAAAGCUAUGGUUUAGAUCUAAAAAGUCCCCCCAACAUCUCAGGUACUCAGGUGUAAGGCUUUUGGAAGGUGAUUGCUCAGUCAUAGGGGCACUACAUUUAUCAGUGGACUAAUGCAUCGAUGAGCUCAUGACUGAAUUUGCUGUUAGGAGGGGAGCCUGGUUGGAGGUAGGUCACUGGGGGCAAGACCUGGAAAGGUAUAUUAUUGUCCCCAGCUCUUUCCUUCUGUCUCUGCUUCCUGGCAGCCACAGAUUGA